AAGUGAAGAAGCGCAUACGAUGCAA
This 25-nucleotide ribosomal RNA is filed under the name Pseudomonas aeruginosa. RNAcentral's name for it is "partial 23S ribosomal RNA". Lineage: Bacteria; Pseudomonadati; Pseudomonadota; Gammaproteobacteria; Pseudomonadales; Pseudomonadaceae. The record is from RNAcentral.